This is a long non-coding RNA of Metopolophium dirhodum (rose-grain aphid), 922 nucleotides long. RefSeq lists it as uncharacterized. The record is from RefSeq and is a predicted model, not a curated record. The transcript is spliced from 3 exons. Lineage: Eukaryota; Metazoa; Arthropoda; Insecta; Hemiptera; Aphididae.
UAUAAAAUAUAACUACGUUAUAAUAUUAUAAAUUAGCUACGCGAUAUGUGAGUUUUCAAAUCUAUCUAUAUAUAAUAUGUGUAAUAAUAUUAUGCUCAAUAUGUAUAGCGACACACCAUAUCAUCAUUAUCACACGACAUCCACAGGUUGCAUAUUCUGCCCCCCGGUCAUGAGUCCAAAAAACACGCGAAGAAAUACAAUUUCACGUCAAACGGGUGUACACGGCGACCACUUCUAAGCCGGCGCAGUAUCUAUAUAUAUACCUACGGAAGUCUACUCCAUUCCGACGCAAUUUUUUUUCUUCUACGCGUAUUUUUUCUUCGUACCUACGUAGAAAGCGAGCCGGAGAAAGUGACUAAUAUAUAUAUACGAUUUGUCAAUAUUAUUAUCAUCGUCAUCAUCAUCAUCAUCAUCAUCAUCAUCAUCAUCAUCUACUUCAUCACUGUCGUCGCGAUACACAACAGUAUAAUAAUAUUAAAUAAUAUAUGAACAGCUGCAGUUUUAAACAUCUGCAGCAGAUGCGCGGGUAAAUGGAAGUUUAAUGCAAGUUCCGCAGAAAGUUGCUACACGUUCGUCGAUAUACUCACGGAAUCUGUACACUUUUUAUUUAUGCUUAUAUUUAUAUUAAAAUAUAUGCACAUAAUAUUAUACAUUACACGAUAUAUCUAUACGACUAUAUACAUAUAAUAUGUAUAGCUAGUAUAGGUACUGCGAUUGAGUUUUUACAUUUCUCGGCGGUGUUUCUUCGCCUAAGAUUUAUCUCGCGCACGGAGGGGCUAUUUUUUCCCGCUAUUUUUCUUCCGCAUCGACUGACCCGUGUUACACGUUAUAUGCCACAUUAAAACGUAAAUUUUAUAAUAAUUAUUAUAAAACACUUUAUCGGUCCCCGUGAUAUAACAUGAUAAUAUAAUAACGUGUAGGU